CGGGGCUUAAAGUCUUGUAAUUGGAAUGAUGGGAAUUUAAACCUCUUCCAGAGUAUCAAUUGGAGGGCAAGUCUGGUGCCAGCAGCCGCGGUAAUUCCAGCUCCAAUAGCGUAUAUUAAAAUUGUUGCAGUUAAAAAGCUCGUAGUUGAAUUUCUGCUGCAUUGCUUGUGUCCCUCUGGGGUCUGUGCAUGUGGCUUUUUUCGGACGGAGUUUCUUUGUCUGAAUGUUUACUUUGAGAAAAUUAGAGUGCUUAAAGCAGGCUUUCGCCUUGAAUAGUUUAGCAUGGAAUAAUAAAGUAGGACUUUGGUUCUAUUUUGUUGGUUUUAGGUACCAAAGUAAUGGUUAAUAGGAACAGUUGGGGGCAUUCGUAUUUAACUGUCAGAGGUGAAAUUCUUAGAUUUGUUAAAGACGAACUACUGCGAAAGCAUUUGCCAAGGAUGUUUUCAUUAAUCAAGAAC
RNAcentral lists this ribosomal RNA (458 nucleotides) under Theileria annulata. Its description in RNAcentral is "SSU rRNA". It matches the Rfam family "Eukaryotic small subunit ribosomal RNA", at positions 486 to 984 of the family's 1831-position model. Lineage: Eukaryota; Apicomplexa; Aconoidasida; Piroplasmida; Theileriidae. The record is from RNAcentral.